Long non-coding RNA from Aegilops tauschii subsp. strangulata, 378 nucleotides. RefSeq lists it as uncharacterized. The record is from RefSeq and is a predicted model, not a curated record. Lineage: Eukaryota; Viridiplantae; Streptophyta; Magnoliopsida; Poales; Poaceae.
CUCGGCCCACCCGCCUCCGCUCUGUCUGUCCCCCCUCAAAAAAAGAAAAAGAAAAAAACUGUCACCGCUGCACACUGAGACGGACCGCCGCUGGAGGGGGGGGAGUCGCGGCCGCCGCCGGCCGCUGGGAAGAAGACGGCCUCGCCGGCAGGACGUGCGCGGCUCCCUUCCGCCGAAGAGCUCCGACCGGAGGACAAGUGUGCUGCAUAUUUGUAUUACCAAGGUGAAAAACACAGGGCAGUUUAACCAACAGCUCAAGGCGGUCGAAUAUGAUGCGUGUAAAUGAGUGCCCUCACAGAAGAUACAUCAUCUGAGUCCCAAGAUAGAUCCUUGUACUUUGAUGAAAACCAAAUCAUAUAUAAUGUGGUUUCUUCCAUA